RNAcentral lists this small RNA (3367 nucleotides) under Pan troglodytes (chimpanzee). RNAcentral describes it as "processed transcript". Lineage: Eukaryota; Metazoa; Chordata; Mammalia; Primates; Hominidae. The record is from RNAcentral.
UUUUCAGUUUGAUGCAGGAUAAAUGGGACCUGGCAGAAGUUAAUGGCAGAGAUGUCCCUGUGGAGACAAUGACCUUCAGUCCCAGGAGAAUUACAAAUAAUAGAUUUAACAACUUUUUACAUAACAGAUGGCUAAUAGAUGGCACACAGAUGCACAGUAUCGUAAUAACCAUUACUGCAUCUUUUCUUUUUUUUCCUUUUUUUUUUUUUUUUUGUUGUUUGUUUGGAGACGGGAGUCUUGCUCUGUCACCCAGGCUGGAGUGCACUGGUGCGAUCUCAGCUCACUGCUCAGCUCACUGCACUCCGUCUCCCAGGUUCAAGCGAUUCUCCUGCCUCAGCCUCCCAAGUAGCUGUGAUUACAGGCGCCCGCCACCACGCCUGGCUAAUUUUUCGUAUUUUUAGUAGAGACAGGGUUUCACUCUGUUGGCCAGGCUGGUCCCAAACUACUGACCUCGUGAUCCACCCGCCUUGGCCUCCCAAACUGCUGGGAUUACAGGUGUGAGCCACGGCGCCCGAUCACUGCAUCUUUGGCCAAGUGUAAAUGGCCAGAAAACUUUUUACCACAUUGCAACAAAAGAGCACAAUGAAGAGUCAAAGAUCCCAGCUGGGCGCAGUGGCUUCAACGUAUAUUCAGUAAAUACAGUAUUCUUAGGAGUUUUUUAAUCUUGUAUUAUUUCUCCCUUUACCUUUUACAGGGAUUUUCAUUUAUUAAAACUCAGUGAUCUAGGCUUCUACUAGCAUAAAGCCCUAUGAAGACAGACUGCCUGCAUCAGCUUUGUAUUCCCACUGUAGGGAUAAUACAUAUAUUCAGUAAAUGUUUAUCAAAUGACUAAGCUUUAAAAUGAUCAAAUAUGCCAAGAUUCAGAUUGUUUUAAUUACUGAUAAUAGAAAAUUGUUCUUUUUCUUCACUCCCCCUUUUAAUCAUUUUUCUUUCCAUCUACUCUCAAAGAUCAUUUGAAACACAGUUGUCAAGAGUGGAAGCAGAAUUGUUAAGAAGAGAAGCUCCUCCCUCGUAUGGACAAUUGAUUGCUCAGGGUUUAAUUCCACCAGUUGAAGAUUUUCCUGUUUGUUCACCUAAUCAGGCUUCUGUUUUGGAAAAUCUGAGGCUAGCGGUACGAUCUCAGCUUGGAUUUACUUCAGUCAGGCUUCCUAUGGCAGGCAGAUCAAGCAACAUUUGGAACCGUAUUUUUAAUUUUGCAAGAUCACGUCAUUCUGGGUCAUUGGCUUUGGUCUCAGCAGAUGGAGAUGAGGUUGUCCCUAGUCAGAGUACCAGUAGAGAACCUGAGAGAAAUCAUACUCACAGAAGUUUGUUUUCCGUGGAGUCUGAUGAUACAGACACAGAAAAUGAGAGAAGAGAUAUGGCAGGAGCAUCUGGUGGGGUUGCAGCUCCUUUGCCUCAAAAAGUCCCUCCCACAACGGCAGUAGAAGCGACAGUAGGAGCAUGUGCAAGUUCCUCAACUCAGAGUACCCGAGGUGGUCAUGCAGAUAAUGGAAGGGAUGUGACAAGUGUGGAACCCCCAAGUGUGAGUCCAGCACGUCACCAGCUUACAAGUGCACUCAGUCGUAUGACUCAGGGGCUACGCUGGGUACGUUUUACAUUAGGACGAUCAAGUUCCGUAAGUCAGAACCAGAGUCCUUUGAGACAACUUGAUAAUGGGGUAAGUGGAAGAGAAGAUGAUGAUGAUGUUGAAAUGCUAAUUCCAAUUUCUGAUGGAUCUUCAGACUUUGAUGUGAAUGACUGCUCCAGACCUCUUCUUGAUCUUGCCUCAGAUCAAGGACAAGGGCUUAGACAACCAUAUAAUGCAACAAAUCCUGGAGUAAGGCCAAGUAAUCGAGAUGGCCCCUGUGAGCGCUGUGGUAUUGUCCACACUGCCCAGAUACCAGACACUUGCUUAGAAGUAACACUGAAAAACGAAACGAGUGAUGAUGAGGCUUUGUUACUUUGUUAGGUACUAAUCACAUAAGGGAGAUUGUAUACAAGUUGGAGCAAUAUCCAUUUAUUAUUUUGUAACUUUACAGUUAAACUAGUUUUAGUUUAAAAAGAAAAAAUGCAGGGUGAUUUCUUAUUAUUAUAUGUUAGCCUGCAUGGUUAAAUUCGACAACUUGUAACUCUAUGAACUUAGAGUUUACUAUUUUAGCAGCUAAAAAUGCAUCACAUAUUCAUAUUGUUCAAUAAUGUCCUUUCAUUUGUUUCUGAUUGUUUUCAUCCUGAUACUGUAGUUCACUGUAGAAAUGUGGCUGCUGAAACUCAUUUGAUUGUCAUUUUUAUCUAUCCUAUGUUAAAUGGUUUGUUUUUACAAAAUAAUACCUUAUUUUAAUUGAAACGUUUAUGCUUUUGCCAACACAUCUUGUAACUUAAUAUACUAGAUGUUAAGGUUGUUAAUGUACAAAAAAAAAACACCCUUAUACUCACCUGCGUUUUCAUUUGUUUGACAUUUGUCUAUUAUUGGAUUUCAUUAUCAUAUGAACUUGUCAAUGGGAAACAAACUGUCUAAAAAUUUUUCUCUUACGUUUAACAUACAAUCAUGUGAAAUUUAGGCAGAGUUCGAUAAAUUACUGGCAAAAACAAAACUCUUUUAUAAAGAUUUUCUAAUGUUGACUUUAAUACUCUAACAUGGUACAAACCAAAUGGUAAAAUCCCAAGUCAUUUCUUUUUUCAUCUCUAUUUAGCAACAGAAUUAAGUGGAUGAAGAUAUUCUACUAUGCAUUAAAUCUUGAACUUUAUAAAACAUGUACAAAAAUUGUACAAGAUAAGUUCCACCUGGUAAUGUCUUUCCCUAAUACAGGGUUGCGCUUGCAUUGGACCCUAGGGAUUUGCACUAAAAUUAUAUCAAGGUCUCAGAUGAGCUUAGUGCACAAGCACUAUCACUUUAAAUACUAUUAUUUGCUACCACAGCAACUAUAUAUUUCCAUAGCUUUUGGCUGGGGGUGGGGGACGUUUUUAUUACAACUUGAAAUUGCUUUGCUGGUUUCAUAUUUAUUUGUUGUAUUUAAAAAAUACAUUGUUGUAAGAGUGAUUUUUUCAAUAUAUUUUAUUCCUGGGGGGGAUCAUGCUACACUCUCAAAAGAAAAUUAAGAAAUCAUUCAGAUCAUCCCCCCUUUUUAAGUAGUGUGAAUUGCAAAACCCAACAUAUUUUUUUUACUGUCAAUUGCGGUUUAUUUAUUCUUUAGCUGUCUGUUUUAGUAGUUUAAUGAUUAUGAAAAAUGUAUCUGUGUGUGAUUUGCUAUUUAUUAAAUUUUAAGUACUUUGCUGAAUGUCAUUUUAAAGCAUGUUUGAAGUCUUGUGUAUUUGUCUGUGUUAAUGCUGUCAGGAGGAACUGACUAAGAUGUUUUAAUAUGUAUCAAAAAUUAAAAUGAUUUUUUUUAUU